UACGUAGGGGGCUAGCGUUGUCCGGAUUUAUUGGGCGUAAAGAGCGUGUAGGCGGCCAGGUAGGUCCGGUGUGAAAACUCGAGGCUUAACCUCGAGAUGUCAUCGGAAACCAUCUGGCUAGAGUCCGGAAGAGGAGAGUGGAAUUCCUGGUGUAGCGGUGAAAUGCGCAGAUAUCAGGAGGAACACCGGUGGCGAAGGCGGGUCUCUGGGCAGUAACUGACGCUGAGGAGCGAAAGCGUGGGGAGCGAACAGG
Molecule: ribosomal RNA, 253 nt
Filed under: uncultured bacterium
Lineage: Bacteria
Description: partial 16S ribosomal RNA
Rfam family: Bacterial small subunit ribosomal RNA
Source: RNAcentral